Molecule: long non-coding RNA, 3912 nt
Organism: Dreissena polymorpha
Lineage: Eukaryota; Metazoa; Mollusca; Bivalvia; Myida; Dreissenidae
Exons: 3
Source: RefSeq, a predicted model, not a curated record
UUCAUAUUUGAAGCUAUGGAUGUGACCCUUGUCAAAAAAUAACCCACUUUCAUACCAAAACACACUUAAACCAACAUAAAACUGUGUUUUUUCUGAGUUUUUCUUAGCGGAAGUUGGUUUUUGCUAAUAAAAGUGAGUUUUAUGUGCGCUAAACUGUGCUUAACUGAGUUUAAAGUUGGUUAUUUUAAGAAGAUGUGUGUUUAAGCGAGUUUUUUUCUGUAAGAAGUCGGUUUUUUGUGUGUCAAAAGUGAGCCUUUUUAUUUAUGAGUUGGUUUAUGUGUGUUUAAGUGUGUCUUUUUGUUUUAUAAGCAAGUAUUUUACAACAGAAGUUGGUCUUUUUUUAAACAGAAGUGGGUUUAAGCGAGUUUAACUUGGUCUUUUUGUAAAUAAGUUGAGAGCUGCAACGAGGCUUAAAGACUCACUUUAACACACUUUUCAACAAGUUGGUCUUUUGUUUAUUAAUAUAACUCAUCAAUGAAACAAUAAUUCUUCAACUGGGUCUUUGUUUAAUGUUUAUAGCCAUAAAUAAAACAAGUCAAUUGUAAAGGGGCUUUUUUUACAGCUUGUUUGCCAUUGUCCCUAUUGUACAUUUGUGUGCUCCCCAUAAUUUUUAGGGAAUUUUGGAUGAAAAUGGCUCUUUCAGAACAUCACAGGUUCACAGAUGGACAACAAGUAUCACUGACAAAAACUAUAACAAUGGUCAAGCUUAGUUUUAUACAUGAAAAUGAAAGAGUUUGUGUUUCACUUUGAUUUUUUUCUUUAUGUUUGUUUUUAUUAUAAACAAUAUCUUAUGAUUGUUUUAUGUCUUAAUUUUUUAUUUUUUUUAAACAAUCUCAUAUGAUUGUUUAUAUUUGUUUAAAACAGUAUUUACUUGUUAAAUCUGCAUAUUUAAAUAAUUAUGGUAUUGGAAACAUUAUUUUGGAAAUAAUCUAUUUAUUUUUGUACAUAAGUUAUGCAAGAUUUUGAUAUUUGCAUAUGAUACCAUCAUAUCCAUUUUCUUAAUUUGCAAUAAAAUAAUAAAAUGCCAAACAUGACCUGUGUUACAUAAACUGUCAACAAAAUAACAAGACAAUACCUAAAAACACCCUUAUUUCACACCACUAACAAUAAACAGAUAACAAUCUGUCAGGCAUUCAGAGCUAAACAGGGUACUGAUUAUCUAGGGGUAGAUAAGGCUACUGAUGGGGUUUGCCUAGAGAUAAGGCUGUGUGGAAUAAGAUAUAAGGCUUUUGAUUGGCUAUUGCACUGAGGAAGUUAUCUUUUUGAAAACAACAACUUUUGAAAAAUAAGCUGGUGUCAGCAAUUGAAUAUUGAGCUAAAUUUAAUUCAGCAACAUUAAUAUAAAGAAGUGAAAGACUUAUAAUGGUAGUGUAAAAUGUCUUGAAAUUCUGUCAGCAUGAAGUAUUGUGUGAUGAAAACAAUGUGUUUUUUACUGCAAUGUGGAAAUCAAUAAUAAGUUGGUUGGAAAGGAGGUUGAACUGCCUGUUGUUGUUUUUGGAAUACUGAAGAACAGUUUUAACAGGUUAAACUCUUGCCACAAGGCAAAAUUGACAUCGAUGGGAAGAUCCUUUGGAAAGAAUGUGCAUCAUCGCCUGCCUGAUGUAUGGACUUUUAAACCUGGUUUUUACCCUGCACAAGCUGGCAAACUUGAGGGGACCAAGAGUGGGAAAACCUCGCCCUGUCCUUGACCAAGAAAGCUCGAUUUGUUGAGAGAUCAACUGGCAUAAGAGAUGCUCAAGAGGAGAAGGACACAAGCAGCAUCAAUGGUACAACUACGUGUCGCUCCAGCGCCCGCUUUCCAGGUAUCUACCAGCUGCUUUCCAGGUCCCUCCACCCGCCAAGAUCAGGUCUAAUUCCCUGCACUGGCUGCUUUCCAGGUCCCCUAGCAGUCAAGGUCUCUCCAGUAGCUGCUGUGCAGGUCCCAACACCGUAUGCCGUCAAGGUCCCUCCAUAAGCUGAAAUCCAGGUUCCUCAUUCCACUGCGGUGCAGGUACCUCCAACAGCUGAGAUCCAGGUCUCUGCAGCAGCUGCGGUCUAAAUACUCCACCCGCAGUGGUCCAUUGCGGUCAACCUUUUGCUUUAAAAUCUUCCAUAAAUGUCUAUUAUUUUAUAAUGUAUUGUAAAAAUAAACUGUUUGUAUAAAUUUGCGGUGUACUAUUUUUGUCAUAUAAACAUAAUUUUCGUACACAUUGUGUUUUUUUCCCUUUUAACCACAUGGGGCUUAUAAUGAACUGUUGUAAUUGCUUCACAAAAAACAUUUUUUCUAGAACAUAUCAGUCCAAAAUUAUUUUUUUUCACACUGCAAAAUCCCACAAAAGGCUCACAAAAAACCUACUUUCUUAAAAAAACUCACUAAAACACUGUUAAAACCCAUAAAAAUCAACUUACCCAAACCCACAAAUUUCUUUUGUUUUUUUCACAGAUAAAAUACUGUUAAUAACUAGGUUUAAAGCGAGUUAAAAGCAUGUUUUCACUGUGAAAAAAACUAACAAAGGCGUGCUUUCAGCUCACUUUUCGCUCACUUAAAAACCGUGUUUAGCCUGCUUAUAGCUCACAUAAAAAACACACUUUUUACCCACUUAAAACCAACUCCACAGACAGAAGUUGGUCUAAGCAUGUUUAAAAAACCUCAAAAAACCAACUUGUAGAAAAUCAUACUCACUUUAAACCCACUUAAGAUGGUUAAAAAACCCACUAUGUUGGUUUAAAGCGAGUUAAACCAAGAUUUAACUCAGAAAAAACCAAGUCGGUAAGCUAAAAAACCCAGUCGGUAAGCUAAAAGCGUGUCUGAAAAACCCGCUUUUAGCACAGUGCAAAUACCGCAGAGUUAAACACAGAUGCCUGAAAAAAACUCACUUUAAACCCACUUAAGACGGUUAUAAAACCACUAUGUUGGCUUUAAGCGAGUUAAACCAAGAUUCAACUCAGAUAAAACCAAGUCGGUAAGCAAAAAGUGUGUUUAAAAGACUCGCUUUUAGCUCGGUGCCAAUACCGCAGGGUUAAACCCAGUUUAAAACUGGGUUAUAACCGGAUUUUGCUCACUUUUUUGACAAGGGGAACCCACCCAAAGCAAUUGUUCAAUUGUGACCCCACCCCUUUGAUGUUUUAGCCUUUCAACUAUCUGUAUACUCAACUUUCUGAAUUAUGAUUAUUCGUUAAUGAACCAAAAUUUUUAAUUAAAUUCCUAGUCACAAGCCUUAUUUUUAUUGUUUAAACAUAAUGCAAAUAUUAUUUAUUUUUUUAAUAUAUGACAAUUAUUUUGAAAAUUGUCAUUUUACCACACUAUGAACAGGUCACUUCAAACCAUUUGCAUAUGACAUUCUUAAUUCCUUUCAUGAUAAGUAUUAAUACAUUUCAAGAUAUUGGUAAAAGUAUUAAUGGAAGCUACACAAAAGUUUUGUAUUGGAUUUCUGUUGGUAUUUAUAGUCUGUCUGAAAUAUGCAUUACUUCUUUGCCAUCCAGUUGUUUUAAAAGAUACACUAUUACAGACUGAAAGAAAUCAGUGAAGCUUUCUGGCGGGAGAAUCAUGUGUUUUUGUCUGUUUGAUUUUUGAAGCAAAAUUUGAAAGGCUAAAACGUUUUGUUUUGUAAUAACAUGUUUUCGCCUCUGACAGAAACAGUUCAAAUCUGUAAGGAAAUGUAUGAAUGUAUCCAAAGGUUAUCCUAUAUAAUACAAAACCUUUUAAAUUACUUCUACUUUGUUUCUCAACAGCAGGACUUCUUCCGGCAUCCUCUGUUUGCAUGUUGUCAACAUAAAUCCUCUUUAAACAAAUAAUCAAAAGACAUAUCCUUACUCUGACACAUUUGUUCUGGCAACACUCAUGCGGACACUUUGCUGCUCACCUUAUAAGCUCUUCACCUUCUUAGGAUUAUUGUUUUGACACCAUGCAAUAAGGCAAUACCGAAUAAUAUU